Molecule: non-coding RNA, 221 nt
Organism: Thamnophis sirtalis
Lineage: Eukaryota; Metazoa; Chordata; Lepidosauria; Squamata; Natricidae
Source: RefSeq, a predicted model, not a curated record
GCACAAUUGCUAUUCCCAAACUGAAGGGUUAUUUUGUCUGUGCUGGCAUUGUCCUGCUGUGCAUGUUUGCGGUGCAGAUAUGCGUUACCUCAAACUCACGAACCUUAGGAAUCUCAUUUGGGAUUGUUGCAAUCAUCAUGGGGCUGAUUUUGUGUGUCUGCUUUGCGGAUGACUGUUGGAGAUGCUGCGCAAAGCGGUGGCCACUAGCACGCUACUUCUGC